CAGUAGCCGCGGGAAUACGGAGGGGGCUAGCGUUGUUCGGAAUUACUGGGCGUAAAGCGUACGUAGGCGGCUUUGUAAGUUAGAGGUGAAAGCCUGGUGCUCAACACCAGAACUGCCUUUAAGACUGCAUCGCUUGAACGUCGGAGAGGUGAGUGGAAUUCCGAGUGUAGAGGUGAAAUUCGUAGAUAUUCGGAAGAACACCAGUGGCGAAGGCGGCUCACUGGACGACUGUUGACGCUGAGGUACGAAAGCGUGGGGGGCAAACAGGAUUAGAUACCCGGGUAGUCCCUGUCUCUUAUAC
Molecule: ribosomal RNA, 301 nt
Filed under: uncultured bacterium
Lineage: Bacteria
Description: partial 16S ribosomal RNA
Rfam family: Bacterial small subunit ribosomal RNA
Source: RNAcentral